Molecule: long non-coding RNA, 1432 nt
Filed under: Helianthus annuus (common sunflower)
Lineage: Eukaryota; Viridiplantae; Streptophyta; Magnoliopsida; Asterales; Asteraceae
Source: RNAcentral
CACGUGCUAAACCUUCAAUCAAUCGCUCACGUCUGCGCCUUCACUAAACCACACACCACACAUCCGGUAACACCGGAGCAGUUGCUCGCCGGAUUCUCGAGAAGUUGCCUGCGGAGGUUGAAUCUAGAUUAUGUUUCUCUCAAGAUCGAUACAUCUUCCAUAUUCUCAGAUCUGAUUCUCUCACAUUUCUCUGUAUGGCCAACGACACCUUCGGAAGUUAAUAAACUGAGAAUGAUUGAAGGAAUACAUAUUAUCAAUUUGAGGAAAUUACAGUCGAUAUAUUUGUGUCACCGUCAACGUGACCACCACCGUCCUCCGCCGCAUAUGCCGUCAAAUCCCCGUCCGCCGUUGCUUGGUAACAACGACGGUUAGGGUUCAAAGACGCAUCCUCAUUAGCAACGAUGUUUAGGGUUAUGACGACCUUAUCUGUAUUCUGAUGUAGCAAAUGGAGGCUAUAAUUUCAUGAUGUAAACAAAAAGUUGAGUGCUGCAGUUGCAGAAAUUCUUGAGAUCAAAUUGUCCAUCCCUAAGUAACAUUUCUAUCUCAAGUUCUAUGACACCAUGCCAGCGGCCUAUGGGGAAUUAGUGUCAAUAGGGGGUUAAUGCUGGUGAUGCGGCGAAUUACAACAUGGCGGUCGGGCUCCGAUGGGCCUACAUACGUAUGAUCGGUGAUCUUUAAUUAUAAAUUUUGAAAUAAUUUGACACAGAGCCUAUAUGGGGACAUACUGGAUUGUUUCAUGGUUCGUCACCAGCCAACUUUUGACCACCCGGUGCAGAAAGGAACAACGUCGUUGGACCCACCAAAGUGACCAUACAGACAUCAUCAUCCAGGGAUGCAGUCGAAAAUGUAUCAACUAUGAAGCUUAUCCAGCGAAUACUGCCCGUAGGGAACAAUUCCGAUCAGAAGAACAACCGAACAAGAUUGUUCUAAUGGUGGUCAUGAGUUGGUUAUAUAAGUGGAGAGCAAUACUAGGAGUAAAAGCCAAGCAUAAAUGUGUGGAAUCCAGAGGUGACAGAUCGAUUUAAGUUUAGUCUGUCACAAAUGUGGGUCAAUUCUGGUUCUUUCGGUGACCAUCUCAAUCUCAUUGAAGCUGGUUGGUAGGUAUAUUUCUUCAACACAUACAUACAUGUCCCUUGAUACGAUUGAAGAAGAAGACCAAAGUACUAUUAUUCACAUAAUUUCUUUGUAGUUUGUUACUACUUAAUUCAGGAAACUUACAAUGGUACUCUGUUUUAUAUAUUUGCGGGGAUUGAUUUAGGCUGUAUAAAUUAUUAAUGGCAAAAUUACGAUUAACGAGCCGACACCACGCGGUGGACCGCUUUGGUGUAUAUGUCAUGUAUACAUUAAUGUCAUCACUCUACCGCGUACAUGUAACGAAGCUGGAAACGCUAGGUUGUCGCCGCAACGCGCGACACGGGUAAAAAACUAGUUU